RNAcentral lists this ribosomal RNA (308 nucleotides) under uncultured bacterium. Its description in RNAcentral is "bacterial SSU rRNA". It matches the Rfam family "Bacterial small subunit ribosomal RNA", at positions 28 to 334 of the family's 1533-position model. The record is from RNAcentral.
GAUGAACGCUAGCGGGAGGCUUAAUACAUGCAAGUCGAGGGGCAGCAUGGGACUUCGGUCCUGAUGGCGACCGGCGCACGGGUGAGUAACGCGUACACGACCUACCUUCAAGAGGGGGAUAGCCUUGGGAAACUAAGAUUAAUACCCCAUAGUAUUACUAUUAAUAAAUGAUUGUAAUUAAAGUUCCGACGCUUGAAGAUGGGUGUGCGUAUGAUUAGAUAGUUGGUGAGGUAACGGCUCACCAAGUCGACGAUCAUUAGGGGGCGUGAGAGCGUGGCCCCCCACACGGGUACUGAGACACGGACCCG